Molecule: ribosomal RNA, 497 nt
Filed under: uncultured bacterium
Lineage: Bacteria
Description: partial 16S ribosomal RNA
Rfam family: Bacterial small subunit ribosomal RNA
Source: RNAcentral
GAUGAACGCUGGCGGCGUGCCUAAUACAUGCAAGUCGAGCGAACGGACGAGAAGCUUGCUUCUCUGAUGUUAGCGGCGGACGGGUGAGUAACACGUGGAUAACCUACCUAUAAGACUGGGAUAACUUCGGGAAACCGGAGCUAAUACCGGAUAAUAUUUUGAACCGCAUGGUUCAAAAGUGAAAGACGGUCUUGCUGUCACUUAUAGAUGGAUCCGCGCUGCAUUAGCUAGUUGGUAAGGUAACGGCUUACCAAGGCAACGAUGCAUAGCCGACCUGAGAGGGUGAUCGGCCACACUGGAACUGAGACACGGUCCAGACUCCUGCGGGAGGCAGCAGUAGGGAAUCUUCCGCAAUGGGCGAAAGCCUGACGGAGCGACGCCGCGUGAGUGAUGAAGGUCUUCGGAUCGUAAAACUCUGUUAUUAGGGAAGAACAUAUGUGUAAGUAACUGUGCACAUCUUGACGGUACCUAAUCAGAAAGCCACGGCUAACUACGUG